Globicephala melas (long-finned pilot whale) is the source of this 1517-nucleotide long non-coding RNA. RefSeq lists it as uncharacterized. The record is from RefSeq and is a predicted model, not a curated record. Lineage: Eukaryota; Metazoa; Chordata; Mammalia; Artiodactyla; Delphinidae.
UGCCCGCGCGCGCACACUCUGCCCCCCGCUGCCCGACCCACUGGGGCGGUGCGCGAACCCCGCGGCCCGAGGAGCCCCGCCUCCGGGCGGGCCAAGCCGAGGGGAGCGCACCCCGACUUCCCUGGAUCACAUGGGCUGCGGGGGGCGGGUGGAUCGGGGGAGGGGGAGGCGCGGGGAGCUCGCCGCGGCUCCACACUGGGGCAGGGGAGAAGAUGCCCCCCACCCCUCUAGUUCGGCCUCUCCAUUCAAGUUCCCCGGACCCGGCCGCCAGGAUCCGGGAUGGCAACAGCCGCCUGCCCGGCUCUGCGCCCUUUUUCCAGCCACCGCGCAGAAAUUUAGGUCAAGGACGUCGGGAUCAAAUCCAAACCCUGGCGCUCCUCGGGCAGCCGCCGAGACCCCCCAGGAUCUUGGGGCUUCAGGAUUGCGGAGACUCUCCCGCACAACACCAGCCACAAGUUUUAUUUUCCUUUCGCGCUGGAAGUUCUCUCUGGCUCUCGCUCCGCACCGGCACGUACCCGGCAGAGGAUUAGGAUACAGUGGAAUACACUCAACCCCAAAACGGUACCAAAUCCGCUGUGGGUCUUUGAGAAAUGGACUAUUCGGAAAAUACCAACAUCAACCAAACCCGGGAAGCCGGCUUUCACGCCGUCAAGAUGCACAAGUAGCCUGCUAGAGAGGCCCACGUGGAGAAGAAUUGCAGCUUCCUGUCAGCAACCCGAACUAACCUGCCAGGAUUGUGAGACAUCUUAACGGUGCAUCUGCCAGCCCCAGCCAUGCCUUCAGACGACAGCUACCCCAGCUCACAUCUCAACAACUUCCCGAGAGACCUGGAGCCGGAACCUCCCAGCUAAGCCACUCCCAAUUCCUGACCCUCAGAUACUGGUAUGCGGCUUCUCUGUUGUGGCCUCUCCCGUUGCGGAGACAAGCUCCGGACGCGCAGGCUCAGCGGCCAUGGCUUACGGGCCCAGCCGCUCCACGGCAUGUGGGAUCUUCCCGGACCGGGGCACAAACCCGCGUCCCCUGCAUCGGCAGGCGGACUCCCAACCACCGCGCCACCAGGGAAGGCCCUCCUCGGGCCUUUUGCAUGUGCUCUUCUUUCUCUCCUCACUGUAUGGAUAUCUCCUUAUUACUUUUCAAAUCUUAGUUCAGAUACCACCUCCUCAAAAAUACCUUUUCUCAUCAACGUCUCUAAAGUUGCCUCCCCUACUGCUUUCUAGUUCAUUGCUUUAAAUUGCCUGCUGGGAGCUCACGUGAGGGCCUCAAUUAUCCUCUGUUUGGGUUUUUCCAUGUGGCAGCGUGGGCUUCCUAAUAACAUGGAAGCUGGAUUCUAAGAGGGAAGAAGCAGAAACACCAAAAUCUAAAAUAUUCUCCACCUAUUCCCAAAUAAUUUUCUAGCGCCUUAUCCUAUGUUAUCUAUUUUCUCACUCUCUGAAAUUAUUGUGGUAAUUUAUGUUUCCUUGCUAAUUGCCUGCUCUCUCCCAGCAUCUAUAAGGAUAUAAAACCCGUGAGAUUAGAAA